Molecule: RNA transcript, 5281 nt
Organism: Portunus trituberculatus (swimming crab)
Lineage: Eukaryota; Metazoa; Arthropoda; Malacostraca; Decapoda; Portunidae
Exons: 20
Source: RefSeq, a predicted model, not a curated record
UUAGGACUUAUAGUUUUAAGGGUUUCCACAGAACUUAAGGUGAGUCUUUUUGGAAUUUAAUGUUUUACAUGAUAAAAUGGACAGUGAAAAAAGUUUGGAAGGUGGAAACAUUAUUUUUUACAAGAUUUGUUUAUGAUUGCAUUAUUUCAGGUGUUGACAUAACCUUUGCCAGUACACUGUUGGAAAUUUGUUGCUGACUUUUGUAAGGGCUGACAAGGGGACGAUGCCAAGACGAGGAACGAGAGUGGAAUAGUGGAAGCUUUUACUCAUUACUGCCAAGCCAGUGCAGUGUUGGUGUAAGGAAUGCCAAGGGGAUGACACCAAGAUGAGCUAAGGGGAAGGUGCCAAGACGAGCAACGAGAUUGGAGUGAUGGAAAUUUUUGCUAAGUGCUGCCAAGCCAGAAAGGCUUGUGCCAGUGCAGUGUUGGUGUAAGGGAUACCAAGGGGACGAUGCCAAGACGAGGAACGAGAGUGGAAUAGUGGAAGCUUUUACUCAUUACUGCCAAGCCAGUGCAGUGUUGGUGUAAGGAAUGCCAAGGGGAUGACACCAAGAUGAGCUAAGGGGAAGGUGCCAAGACGAGCAACGAGAUUGGAGUGAUGGAAAGUUUUGCUAAGUGCUGCCAAGCCAGAAAGGCUUGUGCCAGUGCAGUGUUGGUGUAAGGGAUGCCAAGGGGACGAUGCCAAGACGAGGAACGAGAGUGGAAUGGUGGAAGCUUUUACUCAUUACUGCCAAGCCAGUGCAGUGUUGGUGUAAGGAAUGCCAAGAUGAGCUAAGGGGAAGGUGCCAAGACGAGCAACGAGAUUGGAGUGAUGGAAAUUUUUGCUAAGUGCUGCCAAGCCAGAAAGGCUUGUGCCAGUGCAGUGUUGGUGUAAGAGAUGCCAAGGGGACGAUGACAAGACGAGGAACGAGAGUGGAAUAGUGGAAGCUUUUACUCAUUGCUGCCAAGCCAGUGCAGUGUUGGUGUAAGGAAUGCCAAGGGGAUGACACCAAGAUGAGCUAAGGGGAAGGUGCCAAGACGAGCAACGAGAUUGGAGUGAUGGAAAUUUUUGUUAAGUGCUGUCAAGCCAGAAAGGCUUGUGCCAGUGCAGUGUUGGCGUAAGGGAUGCCAAGGGGAUGAUGCCAAGGCGAAGAACGAGAGUGGAAUGGUGGAAGCUUUUACUCAUUACUGCCAAGCCAGUGCAGUGUUGGUGUAAGGAAUGCCAAGGGGAUGACGCCAAGAUGAGCUAAGGGGAAGGUGCCAAGACGAGCAACGAGAUUGGAGUGAUGGAAAUUUUUGCUAAGUGCUGCCAAGCCAGAAAGGCUUGUGCCAGUGCAGUGUUGGUGUAAGGGAUGCCAAGGGGACGAUGCCAAGACGAGGAACGAGAGUGGAAUGGUGGAAGCUUUUAUUUACUCAUUGCUGCCAAGCCAGUGCAGUGUUGGUGUAAGGAAUGCCAAGGGGAUGACGCCAAGAUGAGCUAAGGGGAAGGUGCCAAGACGAGCAACGAGAUUGGAGUGAUGGAAAUUUUUGCUAAGUGCUGCCAAGCCAGAAAGGCUUGUGCCAGUGCAGUGUUGGUGUAAGGGAUGCCAAGGGGACGAUGCCAAGACGAGGAACGAGAGUGGAAUGGUGGAAGCUUUUACUCAUUGCUGCCAAACCAGUGCAGUGUUGGUGUAAGGAAUGCCAAGGGGAUGACGCCAAGAUGAGCUAAGGGGAAGGUGCCAAGACGAGCAACGAGAUUGGAGUGAUGGAAAUUUUUGCUAAGUGCUGCCAAGCCAGAAAGGCUUGUGCCAGUGCAGUGUUGGUGUAAGAGAUGCCAAGGGGACGAUGCCAAGACGAGGAACGAGAGUGGAAUGGUGGGAGCUUUUACUCAUUACUGCCAAGCCAGUGCAGUGUUGGUGUAAGGGAUGCCAAGGGGACGAUGCCAAGACGAGGAACGAGAGUGGAAUGGUGGAAGCUUUUACUUAUUACUGCCAAGCCAGUGCAGUGUUGGUGUAAGGAAUGCCAAGGGGAUGACGCCAAGAUGAGCUAAGGGGAAGUGAUGGAAAUUUUUGCUAAGUGCUGCCAAGCCAGAAAGGCUUGUGCCAGUGCAGUGUUGGUGUAAGAGAUGCCAAGGGGACGAUGCCAAGACGAGGAACGAGAGUGGAAUGGUGGAAGCUUUUACUCAUUACUGCCAAGCCAGUGCAGUGUUGGUGUAAGGGAUGCCAAGGGGACGACGCCAAGACAAGCAGUGAGAUCUGCCCUGACUUUUACCUGUGUGGAACUUUUUUUGUGUGUGUGUGUGUGUGUGUGUGUGUGUCGAGGUGAGUUAUUCCUGAAGAUAUUGUUCUAUUUCAUAUGUAUACACCUAUUUCUUUAGUGCCUCCCAAGGCAGGCACCACACAUGGAUGCUUUCACGUAGGUGUGGAGCUAUUGUGUGUGGUACGAGACAGCUCUCGUUAUGAAGAAGCCUUGUUUCAAACCAACUUCUUUUAAGAGGAAGGUUUCAAGACAUCUGUUACUUUAUUUUGGCUGACUUUGAUGUGCAAGAGGACUGGCAAUUGUAGGCUUUUUUUACUUGGUCAGUUUCCUUCCUUACAUAAUAUACACACACACACACACACACACACACACACAUACAUACAUACAGUCGCAAAAGAUAAGGCGCGCUCUGAAAAAAAAAUAAUUAUGGUUAGCGCAUCAGAACAUGGGCAGUAACAUUCACCGAGCCUUCCUAACAUUUUGUUGUGUUCCCUUUCCUCUUGAUCACCUCUCGUAGACGCCUGGGGACACUAUCAGCAAGGUUUUCCAUGUGAGACGGAUAUUAGCCCAGAGCUGCUGAAUUGCAGUGGUAAGCUUGGGUACAGAUGAGGUGUCAAGGUUGCGCAAUCCUCUUUUUAUAAUUGACCACAGGUUCUCAAUCGGGUUGAUGUCAGGACUAUUUCCUGGCCAGUCCUUAAAGUAGUUUACCAUGCAGUCAUCUAGCCAAGUAACAACUGACUUGGCGGUAUGGCAGGGAGCACCGUCCUGCAUAAAAAUUCAUGCCCGAGUUUUCUCAAAAGAGUUUGGCAAAUGGUCACACAGUAACUCAAGAUAUACUCCCUGGUUCACUUUAAUGUUCUUUGGCAGCACCACUAAACUGCCAACACCAUAAUAGCUGAAACAGCCCCAUACCAUAAUCGAAUCAGGGUGCUUAACAGUCUUUGUGGUGAACUUGGGGUCCAGAGCGUCACUGUGGGGCCGGCGGUACACCUUGUCAUACCGGCUCCCAGUCACUGUGAAGGUUGCCUCGUCACUCCAUAAUACUCCUCUCCAAUCCUCAUCUGACCACACACUAUAUUUCUUGGCAAAUUUCAAUCUCAGCCCUCUGGACAGUGGUUAGCAGCGGUUUACAUCUGGCCCGGUAGCUAUGAUAACCCAAGUCAUCAUGGAGAAAUUGUUGAAUGCUACGUACUGAUGCGUUGCCAAGCAAAUCUGGGUUAGUUUCCUUCAGUUCUCUUGCUGUACUUCGAGGCCUGCAUUUAGCCUAGUUUUAGCCAUAGUACCGAUUCCGCUGAAAUUUAAGGCGCAACCUCUACCGCGCCUUAUCUUUUCGCGCCGACUGUAUAUAAUCAUACCCAUGGUUUGUAAUUACGUAUCAGCAUAAAAUGAGUUGUCAAAAAUUAUUUGUACUGUUAUAAACAAAGGUGGAUGUUAGUGUUUGAAAAUCUAAUGUUAGUUAAUUACUGGUGAGGCUGUGAUGGACAGAUAGUUGUUGUGGUGGAGAGAGCUGUCUUGAUAAAACGCUGAACACAUUAUGGUAAUAAACGAUAGGAUAUUUAUUUUUAAUAUUAGCUCAGAAAAUUUGUUGGAGGAAAAUAAUAACAAGGUCAAAGGUUUGUAAUUAUUUAGAAAUGUGAUGCCCUGCUGUGCUUGUUAUUGUGAUAGCAACCAUCUCCAUCUUAAUGCAGCAGCUAGCAUGCUAACCUAACUAGAUGUAAACUAACAGCUGAAUCUAACAUAACAACCUAACCAAACAAGUGUUGCAUAGAUAAGAUUUAGUCAGGUAAGGAUGAUUGUGGCAAGAUCAAGGUCAAGAACAUGGAGCUCCUCACAACAAAAUACACCAGGGCUACUAUCUGGCAUACAAGUAAGAGGCUAAGGUUACAGGGAUGUCUUGAACUAUGCAAGGGAUUCAUUCCUAAAGGGAUUGUGAAUAGUGAAUAUGAUUGCUGACCUAGACCGUACAGUAUAUAUCAAAUCUAGAGGGUUGCAUUCAGCCAACAUUAAGUUUAAGACUACAUGUUGGCAGUACACAGGGGAAACGCCGGUGACACCUGGGGCCGUAUUGUAUAGCAUUUUCAUAUAUAAGACAUCCACCAAGAAUUUGCAUUUCCAUCAUAUCAAGCUGAUUUUUUCACAAGUGAGAUUUCCCAUGCUUUAAGUUAGGUUCCAUUGAAAAGAAAGUAUAAAACAACUGUGAAAACUAGGACUCUAUUGUAUAUAUACACACUAUGUAUUUAGAAAAUGAGUGAAGCUUCAUUAGAAAAGGUUAUGUGAAUAUCUUCAUUGUGAGGAGUAAAUGUUUGCAACACCAACUUGAUAUCACCACCAUUGAUAUUCUAGAGCAGUGGUUUCCAAACUGUGGUAUGCGAAGGUCUUCCAGGUGCUUCGUGAGGACUUUCUGGAUCGUAUGCGAUUUUAAUUAAAUUACAUUAAUUCAUAUCUCAGAAAAAUUAUUAUCCCUUGCAUUAAACUGAUUUAUGUUCCGUGUUAUUAGUAUGUUCUACUUGUGAAUAGAUUGAUAUUUGCUGGAAAUGAGUUUUCUGGAGCCAGGUGGUACACAGCGACUGUAUGGGACCCCCAAUUUGUACGCUCAGGAAAAGGUUGGGAACCACUUUUCUUGAGAGUAGGAAUAUUAACAUAAAUGGUUUCAAGAUUAUUGUUAUAAAAGAUUGUAAGUUUAUAAUGUAAAAGGAACAGUAAAAGCAUCGUUACACAUAUAGACAGCCAAUUUAAUUGUAGUUUCUUGUCACCUUUUCAAAGUUGUAUGUUAUUCCAUUUUAGGACUUGAAGGUAGAAACAGGACGAUUUCUCUUGCGAGCCUUAGCUUCUACAAUCAUCUGUGCUUGUCGCUUGAUAAACUUGCGUGUCAAGGUCUCCUCUUCUUCUCCACUAUCUGCUCCUUCUUCAACCUGGAAAAGCAUAUUGUUCUUUUUUUAACGUAUUUCUAUAUUUCUUCCUGUGAAGCAUAUGGGAGUCAUAUAUGCAAGAGGUGUGACAUUUGAUCAUUGAAAUCCACCAUAUAUGAUCAGCUUGUUGCUUAUCAAAUUAAAUUAAUAAUCUGU